CCCAGACUCCUACGGGAGGCAGCAGUGGGGGAUAUUGCACAAUGGGGGGAACCCUGAUGCAGCGACGCCGCGUGGGUGAAGAAGCGCCUCGGCGCGUAAAGCCCUGUCAGCAGGGAAGAAAAUGACGGUACCUGAAGAAGAAGCCCCGGCUAACUACGUGCCAGCAGCCGCGGUAAUACGUAGGGGGCAAGCGUUAUCCGGAUUUACUGGGUGUAAAGGGGGCGCAGACGGCGAUGCAAGCCAGGAGUGAAAGCCCGGGGCCCAACCCCGGGACUGCUCUUGGAACUGCGUGGCUGGAGUGCAGGAGGGGCAGGCGGAAUUCCUAGUGUAGCGGUGAAAUGCGUAGAUAUUAGGAGGAACCCCAGUGGCGAAGGCGGCCUGCUGGACUGCAACUGACGUUGAGGCCCGAAAGCGUGGGGAGCACACAGGAUUAGAUCCCCCCGUA
Molecule: ribosomal RNA, 445 nt
Filed under: uncultured bacterium
Lineage: Bacteria
Description: bacterial SSU rRNA
Rfam family: Bacterial small subunit ribosomal RNA
Source: RNAcentral